RNAcentral lists this ribosomal RNA (301 nucleotides) under uncultured bacterium. Its description in RNAcentral is "partial 16S ribosomal RNA". It matches the Rfam family "Bacterial small subunit ribosomal RNA", at positions 509 to 809 of the family's 1533-position model. The record is from RNAcentral.
CAGCCGCCGCGGUAAUACAGAGGGUGCGAGCGUUAAUCGGAUUUACUGGGCGUAAAGCGUGCGUAGGCGGCUUUUUAAGUCGGAUGUGAAAUCCCUGAGCUUAACUUAGGAAUUGCAUUCGAUACUGGGAAGCUAGAGUAUGGGAGAGGAUGGUAGAAUUCCAGGUGUAGCGGUGAAAUGCGUAGAGAUCUGGAGGAAUACCGAUGGCGAAGGCAGCCAUCUGGCCUAAUACUGACGCUGAGGUACGAAAGCAUAAGGAGCAAACAGGAUUAGAUACCCGGGUAGUCCCUGUCUCUUAUAA